GGUAAUACAUUAAAUUUGGAUGCAAAAACAGGUGAAACAAAUGAAUGUGAUGCACCAGUGUCAAACAAAACAUGAGCAAGAUGAUUACAGAUAGUGUGCAUACCCUGUACCACAUCCGGGUCGACUUCGGCAUCCUGUUAGGUGAGAUUGUAAGCUCUGCCCUAGAUAGGAGGUCUUCCCUGAUUCUGGUUCCUUGGGCACUCUCUUACAUAGUGUUGGGCACUACCACAUAUGUGACAGGUGUUGUUGAGGCGGUAACAUGGUCAGUUCCCGUGAUCCCUGCCGCAAUGCUGACAGAUCUUACCACGUCCUCCCACUGGAGCCUAAGAGGCAGCCUGGAUCAUCGAUCUGGGCCUCUUGUUCUGUUGGACAGGCGCAGUAGGUGCUGGUCUGCGGGGUGGAGCUAAGGGUCUGUGGUUCCCUACUGACUGAGGGAGGGUGUGGAGGCUCCUCUCCACUAACUGUGCCUUUGCCAGAACGGCCGAGUAAGUCUUGAGCUCCAGUACAAAUAAAUACUGCUUGAUCUCUGGGUGAAGGCCCCAAUGAACCUCCUAGCCUUUCUGCCCUCAUCCAUCAGCGUCUUAGGGGAAUAUCGGCCCAACUCCAGGAACUUACGAGCAUAUUCUGACACCGUCAUGUUCCCCUGGACCAACUGGACAAACUCCAUCUCAUUCAAAUGUCGGAUGUGCUCUAGGAGGUACUCUGCAUGAAAGGCUGCUAAGAACUGUUCCCAAGUAACUAGAACAGACAAGGUGGUCUAUUUGAGUUCCCACCAGCGGUCUACUUCUCCCAUCAGCAUGUUGGUAGCAAGGGUGACCCUCUACUCGGGAGUCACUCCUAGGGUCUUAAAGGCCUUCUCCGUCUCCGCCAACCAAUACUGGGCAUCUUCAAAAGAGGAUUCCCCCUGUAAAAGUAUAUGGGUUCAGUCUCCUGUACCUUUCUACAUAGUCUGGGUCAAUCAUGGAAGGAGUUGGGUCCCACGAAAAAUGGACUGAGCUAGGCUGAGGAUAGACUGGGGGGCCCUGUGAUGGUACUUGCUGAUAUGGUGGGGGCACUGAAUUAUACUGUGACGGUGCCGGGCAGUACUGUGGCUGGGGCACCGGAUUAUAUUGCGGCAGUGGCACCAGGUCCUCUCACUGCAGUGGUAGCUCAACCUGUGGCAGCGGGGGAGGGUCGGGUAACUCCCUUCUCUCCUCUCGACCCUGUUGGGCAGUAAUGAGUCUCUCCAGCAUCUCAAAUAUCCUGUCAACGUCUUUCCGCAGCGAACCAUCCCGGACUACUCGGUUUAGUGGGGGUCUCCCUCUUCUCAUCUCUCUGUACCUGCAUUUCACAAUGAAGGGUUAAGUAAUAAUUCAUUGGUUUGGUGUUUUUAUAAGUAUCAUUGUGUAAGGAACGAGUCCGAGGAACGCGGCUCUGAUACCAACUGUAACAACCCCGAAAUUUCAAAAGAAAAUACAUAUAAUAAUCUGAGUGCGGAAACGAAAUAAAAGAUUAAGGUUAAUAUCCCUUACACAAUAACUUAAAAGUACUAAACAAU
Molecule: long non-coding RNA, 1537 nt
Filed under: Carica papaya (papaya)
Lineage: Eukaryota; Viridiplantae; Streptophyta; Magnoliopsida; Brassicales; Caricaceae
Description: long non-coding RNA (CPAP_LNC012449)
Source: RNAcentral